UAAAACUGAAGAGUUUGAUCAUGGCUCAGAUUGAACGCUGGCGGCAGGCCUAACACAUGCAAG
RNAcentral lists this ribosomal RNA (63 nucleotides) under Pseudomonas borbori. Its description in RNAcentral is "16S rRNA. Bacterial SSU". Lineage: Bacteria; Pseudomonadati; Pseudomonadota; Gammaproteobacteria; Pseudomonadales; Pseudomonadaceae. The record is from RNAcentral.